AGAUUGAACGCUGGCGGCAUGCCUUACACAUGCAAGUCGAGCGGCAGCGCGGGGGCAACCCUGGCGGCGAGCGGCGGACGGGUGAGUAAUGCAUCGGAACGUGUCCUCUUGUGGGGGAUAACCAGUCGAAAGACUGGCUAAUACCGCAUGAGCUCGCAAGAGGAAAGCGGGGGAUCCGUAAGGACCUCGCGCGAGAGGAGCGGCCGAUGCCCGAUUAGCUAGUUGGUGGGGUAAUAGCCUACCAAGGCGACGAUCGGUAGCUGGUCUGAGAGGACGACCAGCCACACUGGGACUGAGACACGGCCCAGACUCCUACGGGAGGCAGCAGUGGGGAAUUUUGGACAAUGGGGGCAACCCUGAUCCAGCCAUGCCGCGUGUGUGAAGAAGGCCUCGGUUGUAAAGCACUUCGGCCGGAACGAAAUCGCGCGAGUGAAUAUCCCGCGUGGAUGACGGUACCGGAAGAAGAAGCACCGCUAACUACGUGCAGCAGCCG
RNAcentral lists this ribosomal RNA (493 nucleotides) under uncultured soil bacterium. RNAcentral's name for it is "bacterial SSU rRNA". It matches the Rfam family "Bacterial small subunit ribosomal RNA", at positions 26 to 517 of the family's 1533-position model. The record is from RNAcentral.